CAGGCACCUCCCACCCCUGGGAACUUUGGCCCCAGCCCUGAGAUCAGCUCAGACAGAAGACAGCGAGGCACACUGCACAGCCCAGCAGGAAAGCAGCUGGGUCCUGAGACUGGUGUAGACAGAACAGCCUAGCCAUUUCCUGCCCUGUGAGCUGGGCGAGCGGACACCAGUCAGUGAGAACCAACAUGAAUGGCAGCGGUCACCGGUCAGUAGGUACUGUCACGGAACCCUAACAAGGAUAAGCAGCCUGAGGUAAGAGCUAAAAGACCAAGAACUGGAAAGUCUGCGUGUCUCCAUCCCUUGGUGAUAAGGCAGAGAGUGCUUUGCUCUCAGGUCAUGCUAUCGGGAUCAAGAGAUAGAGGCCGUCGCUGGAGCCAGCACAGAGUCCGCUUGUCUCUCUCCCUCUCCCUCUCCCUCCCCCGCCCAAAAGUAAAUAAAUAUAAUUUUUAGAAAAGAUAAAAUA
Long non-coding RNA from Neogale vison (American mink), 463 nucleotides. RefSeq lists it as uncharacterized. Lineage: Eukaryota; Metazoa; Chordata; Mammalia; Carnivora; Mustelidae. The transcript has 4 exons. The record is from RefSeq and is a predicted model, not a curated record.